RNAcentral lists this ribosomal RNA (504 nucleotides) under uncultured bacterium. RNAcentral describes it as "bacterial SSU rRNA". It matches the Rfam family "Bacterial small subunit ribosomal RNA", at positions 26 to 518 of the family's 1533-position model. The record is from RNAcentral.
AGAACGAACGCUGGCGGCGCGUCUUAAGCAUGCAAGUCGAACGGCAAGAGGUAGCAAUACCUCCUAGGAGUGGCGGACUGGUGAGUAACACGUGGGUGACAUACCCUUCAGAUGGGGAUAGCUAUUAGAAAUAGUAGAUAAUACCGAAUACGAGCACAGGGGUUAGAGAUCUGUGAGGAAAGGAGCUAAGGCUCCGCUGAAGGAAUGGCCUGCGGCCCAUUAGCUAGUUGGUGAGGUAAGAGCCCACCAAGGCGAUGAUGGGUAUCCGGCCUUAGAGGGUGAACGGACACAUUGGGACUGAGAUACGGCCCAGACUCCUACGGGAGGCAGCAGCUAAGAAUAUUCCGCAAUGGACGAAAGUCUGACGGAGCGACGCCGCGUGGAUGAAGAAGGCCGGAAGGUUGUAAAAUCCUUUUGAAACUGAAGAAUAAGCGUUGUAGGGAAUGACAGCGUGGUGACAGUAGGUUUUGAAUAAGCAACGGCUAAUUACGUGCCAGCCGCCGC